GGGGGGGGGGGGGGGGGGGGGGGGGGGGGGGGGGGGGGAGGGGGGGGCGCGGGGGGGGGGGGGGGCGGGGGUGGCGGGCGGGUGGUUGGGGCGUGAGUGAGCUGCCGUUGCCCUUGGUGUCACUUCCGGUACCUGUGUCUCAUCCCUGGUGUGAGCUCCUGCUGCAUGGUGGGGGUUGGAAAGUUUCGGCGGUUGGGGUUGGACUCUCAGCGUAUCAGCUUGUUGGUGUGGUGGUGGCUUACCAAGGCUGUGACGGGUCGCCGGCCUGAGAGGGUGCCCGGCGACAUGGGGAUGAAGAUACGGCCCAGACUCCUACGUGAGGCAGCAGUGGGGAAUAUUGCACACUGGGCGGAAGCCUGAUGCAGCAACGCCGCGUGCGGGAGGACGGCCUUCGGGUUGUAAACCGAUUUCGCCUGUGACGAAGCGUGAGUGACGGUAAUGGGUAAAGAAGCACCGGCUAACUACGUG
RNAcentral lists this ribosomal RNA (468 nucleotides) under uncultured bacterium. RNAcentral describes it as "partial 16S ribosomal RNA". The stretch from base 62 to 468 matches the Rfam family "Bacterial small subunit ribosomal RNA", at positions 39 to 507 of the family's 1533-position model. The record is from RNAcentral.